CACGCCGUAAACGGUGGGUACUAGGUGUGGGUUUCCUUCCUUGGGAUCCGUGCCGUAGCUAACGCAUUAAGUACCCCGCCUGGGGAGUACGGCCGCAAGGCUAAAACUCAAAGGAAUUGACGGGGGCCCGCACAAGCGGCGGAGCAUGUGGAUUAAUUCGAUGCAACGCGAAGAACCUUACCUGGGUUUGACAUGCACAGGACGACUGCAGAGAUGUGGUUUCCCUUGUGGCCUGUGUGCAGGUGG
This 246-nucleotide ribosomal RNA is filed under the name uncultured Mycobacterium sp. RNAcentral's name for it is "partial 16S ribosomal RNA". It matches the Rfam family "Bacterial small subunit ribosomal RNA", at positions 796 to 1041 of the family's 1533-position model. Lineage: Bacteria; Bacillati; Actinomycetota; Actinomycetes; Mycobacteriales; Mycobacteriaceae. The record is from RNAcentral.